UGGGGAUGACGUCAAAUCAUCAUGCCCCUUAGUGACCUGGGCUACACACGUGGCUACAAUGGGCGGUACAAAGGGUCGCGAACCCGCGAGGGGGAGCCAAUCCCAAAAAGACCGCUCUCAGUUCGGAUUGCAGGCUGCAACUCGCCUGCAUGAAGCCGGAAUCGCUAGUAAUCGCGGAUCAGCAUGCCGCGGUGAAUACGUUCCCGGGCCUU
Molecule: ribosomal RNA, 212 nt
Filed under: uncultured Anoxybacillus sp.
Lineage: Bacteria; Bacillati; Bacillota; Bacilli; Caryophanales; Anoxybacillaceae
Description: partial 16S ribosomal RNA
Rfam family: Bacterial small subunit ribosomal RNA
Source: RNAcentral